GAUGAACGCUGGCGGCGUGCCUAAUACAUGCAAGUCGAGCGAACGGACGAGAAGCUUGCUUCUCUGAUGUUAGCGGCGGACGGGUGAGUAACACGUGGAUAACCUACCUAUAAGACUGGGAUAACUUCGGGAAACCGGAGCUAAUACCGGAGAAUAUUUUGAACCGCAUGGUUCAAAGGUGAAAGACGGUCUUGCUGUCACUUAUAGAUGGAUCCGCGCUGCAUUAGCUAGUUGGUAAGGUAACGGCUUACCAAGGCAACGAUGCAUAGCCGACCUGAGAGAGUGAUCGGCCACACUGGAACUGAGCCACGGUCCAGACUCCUACGGGAGGCAGCAGUAGGGAAUCUUCCGCAAUGGGCGAAAGCCUGACGGAGCAACGCCGCGUGAGUGAUGAAGGUCUUCGGAUCGUAAAACUCUGUUAUUAGGGAAGAACAUAUGUGUACGUAACUGUGCACAUCUUGACGGUACCUAAUCAGAAAGCCACGGCUAACUACGUG
Molecule: ribosomal RNA, 497 nt
Filed under: uncultured bacterium
Lineage: Bacteria
Description: partial 16S ribosomal RNA
Rfam family: Bacterial small subunit ribosomal RNA
Source: RNAcentral